Long non-coding RNA from Cannabis sativa, 787 nucleotides. RefSeq lists it as uncharacterized. The transcript has 3 exons. The record is from RefSeq and is a predicted model, not a curated record. NCBI's taxonomy places the organism in Eukaryota, Viridiplantae, Streptophyta, Magnoliopsida, Rosales, Cannabaceae.
CGGUAAUGAUUUUAAAAUUGAAUUUUUGUUUUUUUAAUUAAAAAAGUGUAAACAAAACUGAAAAGUGCGUUCGGUAGGAAGAUUUUGUUUUUUAUUUUUAAAAUUAAAAAACAAAACUAAAGAAAUUUUCAAAACAGAUUUUUGUUGAUUUUAAAAAUUUUAAAAACACUUUUUCUCAACUUCUCUCUUGCUUAUUCUUUCAGAAGCUCAAGUUCUCUUCCAUGGCUUCAACUAUUCCACAGAUUUGAAAAUGUAAAAAGAGAUUAUCAUGAUGGGAGUAGCUUGAGGAAGAAUUUUUGUUGUUACAGAAUGAAAAUGUUAGGCUAAUUGUUUGCAAUAUUCUUUUGGGAUUUUCUUCGGUUUUAGUUCUCGACAUCAUUUCUAGUGACUUAAAUACAGAAGUACAUUGUGAUUGCUUGUUGUAGAAUUCACAAUUUUAUAAGGACAAAUGCAAAAAAAGAUAUAUAUUUUGAUGGAGAUGAAGACAUUCCUGAAGUACAAAAUGCUACUAUACAAAGCACCCACCAAAUUUUGAAUGAUAGUGUUGAGUUUAGUAUUUCAAGAGAUCAAAUUCGUGAAAUGGCUGAUGUUCGUGAUGAAAUUGCUGAUCAUAUAUGGAGAGCAAAUCGACGAUGAAGAUAAUGAGUGAAGCUUAUUAACAAUUAGAACUUUUUUAAUAUUUUUCAUCAAGAUUGGAUAAUUAUUAGUUCAUAUUUUAUUAUGACUUUGUCGGUUUUGUAUUAUAGAUAAUGAGUUUCGUGAUUUUAAAUUACUUGAUUUUUUUUAA